Molecule: transfer RNA, 69 nt
Filed under: Halocynthia spinosa
Lineage: Eukaryota; Metazoa; Chordata; Ascidiacea; Stolidobranchia; Pyuridae
Description: transfer RNA-Asn
Source: RNAcentral
GUUGUAUUGCUCUAUGUGAGUAUGAUGACUGUUAAUCAUCACAGUUGAGUUAAAAUCUCAAAUAUGGCG